CGUACACUCCUGCGGGAGGCAGCAGUGGGGAAUAUUGCACAAUGGGCGCAAGCCUGAUGCAGCCAUGCCGCGUGUAUGAAGAAGGCCUUCGGGUUGUAAAGUACUUUCAGCGGGGAGGAAGGCGAUAAGGUUAAUAACCUUGUCGAUUGACGUUACCCGCAGAAGAAGCACCGGCUAACUCCGUGCCAGCAGCCGCGGUAAUACGGAGGGUGCAAGCGUUAAUCGGAAUUACUGGGCGUAAAGCGCACGCAGGCGGUCUGUCAAGUCGGAUGUGAAAUCCCCAGGCUCAACCUGGGAACUGCAUUCGAAACUGGCAGGCUAGAGUCUUGUAGAGGGGGGUAGAAUUCCAGGUGUAGCGGUGAAAUGCGUAGAGAUCUGGAGGAAUACCGGUGGCGAAGGCGGCCCCCUGGACAAAGACUGACGCUCAGGUGCGAAAGCGUGGGGAGCAAACAGGAUUAGAAACCCUUGUAGUCC
This 474-nucleotide ribosomal RNA is filed under the name uncultured organism. RNAcentral describes it as "partial 16S ribosomal RNA". It matches the Rfam family "Bacterial small subunit ribosomal RNA", at positions 330 to 796 of the family's 1533-position model. The record is from RNAcentral.